AAAUUGAAGAGUUUGAUCAUGGCUCAGAUUGAACGCUGGCGGCAGGCCUAACACAUGCAAGUCGAGCGGAAACGAGUUAUCUGAACCUUCGGGGAACGAUAGCGGCGUCGAGCGGCGGACGGGUGAGUAAUGCCUAGGAAAUUGCCCUGAUGUGGGGGAUAACCAUUGGAAACGAUGGCUAAUACCGCAUGAUGCCUACGGGCCAAAGAGGGGGACCUUCGGGCCUCUCGCGUCAGGAUAUGCCUAGGUGGGAUUAGCUAGUUGGUGAGGUAAGGGCUCACCAAGGCGACGAUCCCUAGCUGGUCUGAGAGGAUGAUCAGCCACACUGGAACUGAGACACGGUCCAGACUCCUACGGGAGGCAGCAGUGGGGAAUAUUGCACAAUGGGCGCAAGCCUGAUGCAGCCAUGCCGCGUGUGUGAAGAAGGCCUUCGGGUUGUAAAGCACUUUCAGUCGUGAGGAAGGCGGUGUAGUUAAUAGCUGCAUUUUGACGUUAGCGACAGAAGAAGCACCGGCUAACUCCGUGCCAGCAGCCGCGGUAAUACGGAGGGUGCGAGCGUUAAUCGGAAUUACUGGGCGUAAAGCGCAUGCAGGUGGUUUGUUAAGUCAGAUGUGAAAGCCCGGGGCUCAACCUCGGAAUUGCAUUUGAAACUGGCAGACUAGAGUACUGUAGAGGGGGGUAGAAUUUCAGGUGUAGCGGUGAAAUGCGUAGAGAUCUGAAGGAAUACCGGUGGCGAAGGCGGCCCCCUGGACAGAUACUGACACUCAGAUGCGAAAGCGUGGGGAGCAAACAGGAUUAGAUACCCUGGUAGUCCACGCCGUAAACGAUGUCUACUUGGAGGUUGUGGCCUUGAGCCGUGGCUUUCGGAGCUAACGCGUUAAGUAGACCGCCUGGGGAGUACGGUCGCAAGAUUAAAACUCAAAUGAAUUGACGGGGGCCCGCACAAGCGGUGGAGCAUGUGGUUUAAUUCGAUGCAACGCGAAGAACCUUACCUACUCUUGACAUCCAGAGAACUUUCCAGAGAUGGAUUGGUGCCUUCGGGAACUCUGAGACAGGUGCUGCAUGGCUGUCGUCAGCUCGUGUUGUGAAAUGUUGGG
RNAcentral lists this ribosomal RNA (1097 nucleotides) under Vibrio parahaemolyticus. RNAcentral describes it as "bacterial SSU rRNA". It matches the Rfam family "Bacterial small subunit ribosomal RNA", at positions 1 to 1079 of the family's 1533-position model. Lineage: Bacteria; Pseudomonadati; Pseudomonadota; Gammaproteobacteria; Vibrionales; Vibrionaceae. The record is from RNAcentral.